GCCUUUGUAGUGUAAUGGUGAACACACUCAGCGCGUAUGCGAGAAAUCCGAGGUUCGAGUCCCGGCGAGGGCA
RNAcentral lists this transfer RNA (73 nucleotides) under Stegodyphus mimosarum. It matches the Rfam family "tRNA". Rfam says of the family: Transfer RNA (tRNA) molecules are approximately 80 nucleotides in length. Their secondary structure includes four short double-helical elements and three loops (D, anti-codon, and T loops). Further hydrogen bonds mediate the characteristic L-shaped molecular structure. tRNAs have two regions of fundamental functional importance: the anti-codon, which is responsible for specific mRNA codon recognition, and the 3' end, to which the tRNAs corresponding amino acid is attached (by aminoacyl-tRNA synthetases). tRNAs cope with the degeneracy of the genetic code in two manners: having more than one tRNA (with a specific anti-codon) for a particular amino acid; and 'wobble' base-pairing, i.e. permitting non-standard base-pairing at the 3rd anti-codon position. Lineage: Eukaryota; Metazoa; Arthropoda; Arachnida; Araneae; Eresidae. The record is from Rfam by way of RNAcentral.